UGAAUUUCUACAAUGUGCUAAUGCAUUAGGUGCAGAAGAUUCAUCAGUGAUGAGGACAGUCAGAGUCCCUGUCAUCAGUGGGCUUCAACUAUAAUGAGAAAGACAAGACAAUGAAAAAUCCCAAGACAAAGAAUAUCUCUUGAUACUAUUAAAUAUAGAUGUCUGGACUGAAUUGAGCUUACACGACAAUUGCAGUCAAGAUUCUGCAACUCAGAACGGGCAAACCAGUUCUGGAAGCUGGGAAGCCUAAGAUCAAGGAACUGAAAGAGUUGGAGUCUAGUGAGGACUGAGUCUCCACUUCCAAGAUGGUGCCUUGAAUGCUGCAUCCUCCAGAGGCAGGGAACGCCAUUCCUCACAUGGCAGAAGAGUGGAAGAGCAAGAAAGAGAAACUCACUCCUGAAAGUCCUCUUUAAAAAAGCAUUAAGCUUGCCCAUGAAGGUAGCGCCCUCAUGACCUAAUCACCUCUUAAAGGUCCUACUUCCCAAUACUAUUACAUUGGACAUUAAAUGUUAACAUGAAUUUUGGAAGGAACAAGCAUUCAAACCAUAGCAGUGGACCCCCUUUGCCUGGAACAGUCUGCUUUUAGCACUGAAAGUCUCGUGUUCUAGGAAAUCUUUCAGUUGGGGGCAAACUGGAAUGGUUGGUCACCCCAACUUCUUCCUACCCCUAGAUAUCUCUACCAUUGGCCUGUCACAGAAUCUGGAAUGAAUCCAUAGGCUAGCACUAUGUUUUCACGAAUCAUAUGUUAAAAUGCACCAAGACAGUACAUUAAUACGAGUUUUCAUUAUUCAUUUUUUAGUGGGAAUAUGUUUUUAGCUAUGUAGCUCCCACUUCAGACAACAGAGAGCUGAGCCACGACUGAAGAGUAAUUAUUGAUAGUGGGGAGGAAAAGGAAAGAACAACCGUUUGUUAAGCACAUGCUACGUUUAAGGAGUCCUGAUGGGCUUUUAAUAUUAAUAGAAACAGUUCAGAAAUCAGGCACUGGGUACAUGGAGAGGGUAGGAGAUUGAGUUAGCGAGUGGGGAGAUAAGAAGCAAAUCCUCUAAAAGAAAUUAAGUCAUUACUUAGCUGAGUGGAGAAGAUAGCUUUCAGGUCAAACCCCAGAUUUGCAUUUGUAUUUUGACUCUGCGUCUUUCUAACAGUGGAAUUGUGACCAAAAGUCUUAACCCCAACACUGAGUUUUCUCAUCGCUAAAACUGGAAUAUAAUACUUUCCCCAAGGGGUUCUAUGUUUUGUGCAAAUUAAAUGAAGUAAAGUGGGUAGAAUAUUUAGUGCCUACUACCUAACAAGCACUAUAUACACGUUUGAAGCUGCCACUCCUACUGUUACUGUUGGUACAUUUAUUCAAGGACGCCUUGCUCAGAAAGCCCUGGCUUCUCAUUUAUCCCCACUUUUGAGGGCCUAUCAUUGCUUUGUCUCUUUGACAUGUAAGCUAUUUGAUGUCUUUGCUGAAAAUCACUGGGUUUCUUGUUGCAUAUAUGCACAUGGCCACACAAUCAGAAGAAAAAAAAACAAAACAAUGAAAAGCAAUUGACUUUGCUUAUAAAAUCAUUAUCACAGCAGUAUUGUUUUUCUUCUGUGCCUCAUUCUGAGUUCCAUUCUUUUGGGGUUUUCCCAGGCAUCAAUUCAAUGCUUCCAAUUUUUAUGGGAUUUAAGUUACAUUUAAGGGGCUAUAUAAAUGCAAAAAAGGGAACAAGUUUGGGACUUCCAAAUCUGUGCUAUCAAAAGGACUGCACGAAAUUUUUCAUUUUCUUCCACAUAACUCUGCCUGAACGUUAUUUAUGGUUCGAGCAAAAUAGUAGACAUGGAAUAAGAAUUCAUUCAGCUAAGGCAUCUCGGUUAUUCAUAGGUGAACUGAAGCCCUAAACUAUCAUCAAAUUUCACUAGCAACAUUCCAAUGAUGCAGUCAUAUAAAAUUGAAAUUGUAAUGAAAUGUAACUUUACAUGUAUUCAUGGAUUUAAAAGGAAAAAAGAAUACCAUUUCCUCCUAUUGGUGUCAAUUUAAAGUCCCUAUUUUUUUUAAAUCGAGGUGCCUACUAAAGAUAGGCCCAAUAUUUUUGGCAAGAGGAGAACUUUUUUCAUUGGUGUUUAUUCUCCAAAUAAGAAUUACAUGUAAACACUUGUAAUUGAUCUUUAAAGCCUUUCUUGACAUAAAUAUAAAAAGCAGACUAUCACAGAUUGCCAAAUUUGUAAGAUAUGGCAAAAAGUAUUUGGUAUCAUCUAUUCAUGUUACAUGUAAAAAUUUUGCUUUGAGAUCGCAUACACAUAUUAGGUGAGUCACAUCUGUGUCUUUUAAUUUCAAUUCUCUUUCUGUUACAUUACACUGCUUUUCUUAAUGAAAAAUUUUAGCAAAUAGUAUUGAAAUAGGAUUUUAAGGAAAGAGUGUGAAAAUAGAGGAGUGCCUUCCAGAAUGCCAAAUAAAGUCCAGUAGUUUUAAUAAUUUUAAAAUAUUGAUAAAAUAAAGAGUUAAUUCAUAUUGUCAGGAAGAGCAUAAGGGAGAUUAAGCAAAGUAACAUUUUUUUUUUUUUUUGAGAUGGAGUCUUGCUCUGUCACCCAGGCUGGAGUGCAGUGGUGCAACCUCAGCUCAUCGCAACCUCUGCCUCCUGGGUUCAAGUGUUCUUCUGCCUCAGCCUCCCGAGUUGCUGGUAUUACAGGCACCCACCACCAUGCCUGGCUAAUUUUUUUGUAUUUUUAGUAGAGAUCAGGUUUCACCAUGUUGGCCAGGCUGGUUUUGAACUCCUGACCUGAAGUGAUCCACCCGCCUCAGCCUCCCAAAGUGCUAGGAUUACAGGCGUGAGCCACCGUGCCCGGCCACAAAGUAACCUUUUGAAAUAGAAUCUAAAGUGCCCCAAAAUGGCUUUUUAAUGAAAUUCUAGUGAAAAUCCUAAGGAAAUGAUGUAUUACUAUUUACUUAUUAACCUAUGAGAAUACAUACUAUGCUUUUUAUUUUUCUCUUGAAAGUAAAGAAAUAAAAGUAAUGGUUAACCAAGCCCCAUUUAUUUCUGGUUUCUAACGCCAUUUAGUUCAGAGUUUCUUAAAGUGAAGUCUUUAAACCGUGAACAUCAAAAUUAAUGUAAUGCUUCUUAAAAAUGCAGUUUCCAGGCCAUCCUUCAAACUUACUGAAUUACAAUCUUUGAGGAAUGGGGCCUACAAGUCAGUCCUUUAACAACCUCCCCAAAUGACUCUGAAGUACAAUAAUGUUUAAGAACCAUAUUUAAAUUUUACUCUUCCAUGUUGAUUAAUGAUUUGAUAUCACAGAUUAAGUAAAAGAUGGUUUCUUUUGCAUUACUUAAGUUUUAGUGUCAUUUGAAGAAGUGGCUGUACUGGUCCUUUGCAGUGAUUUUUAAUUUUAUUGUUACGUGGAAUAAAUAUUUCAUUGUAUGUGGUAGAAUCUGACAGCCUAUCGAAGAAAUUUCUUAGAACAUUAACAGGUGAGUCUGUAAGCUGUGCCUUUGUUGGGGCAGCUCUUUGGCAUAAACCAAUGGGAUUUGAGUAAUGGGCCAUAUGUCUGUUACAAUUCUGUAAAAAAAUUGGCUUACUUCAGAGAUGGAAAAAUGAUGCCAUCAAGCAGGAGUUGACAAUGUUUUCUUUUCUGCAAAAGGCCAAAGAGUAUUUUAGGCUUUGCAGGCCAUACAAUCUCUCUCGCGACUACUGAACUCCACUGUUGUAGUGUGAACACAGUCAUAAACAAUACAUAAAUAAAAGGAGCAUGUCUGUAUUGCAAUAAAACUUCAUUUACAAAAACUUUAAUUACAGUCUGAAUUAAGCCUGUGGACCAGUGUUUGUUGAUCCCCUAACAUAGACCAUUUAAUAUGUGAUUCAAUCAAUAUUUAAGGUAAAAGCAAUAGCACAAAUAUUGAAUAUUUACAACCUGAACGUAUAUGAGAACAUUGAUAAAAUGGAUUUAAAAAUACAGUGUUUGCUUCCUGUUCUAUUUUUCUUUAUUUUCUUUCCUUAUUGGUGAUACAAUGGCCCUACUGUGACUAAUCAUUGUGGUAGACUGUAAAUGUAGCCACAGAUUGGCCUCUCAUCAAGAGCUUAAGUCUAUUUCCACUGCCCUUUAAGCUGGCCCUGUGAUGAUCUCCGUACAACAGGAUGCAGCAGAAGUGUUGUGUUAGUUCUAACUUUAGACUUAAGAAGCCUUUCAGCUUCCACUUUCAUGCUGGGAAUCCUGAUGAAGAAAGAAAAUUCAUGUGGGGAGAGGUCUCAGCUGCCUUCAUCAUCUUAAUUGUCUUUAUUGAGGUCCACAUGAGGCCCACACGUAUAAUUGGACCCACCUGAGGAAAGGUAAGCCCAGCCCAAAUUAUCAAGCCCCAAAGCGGUGAUCUAAAUAAGACAGUUUUUGUUUUUAAGCCACUAUGUUUUAGUGUGAUUUAUUAUGCAGCAACCUAUAACUGAUACAAACAGGUAGCAAGGUCAUGAGCUGAGAAUGAAAAGGGGGUGGAUGUGUUUGAGGUUUGCAUCAAAGGUAUGGCAUGGAGAAAGUGUGAGAUGGUACAUCUGUGAGUAUCCUAGAACGGACAAGGGAAAUACAGUAGGGUGCUGAAGAGUACUGAGUUCACUUGAGGUGAAUAAACUUAACAUACUUUAUGAACUUAAAAUAAGGCCAGUUAGAAUGGUUGUGUGGUUUUUGCCCCAAAAUGUUCCAGCUGUGCAGAUACAGACAAAAAGUGGAGAGUUGAAUUUAAAUAUGGGUGGCGAGGUUUUAUCAGGUGAACAUGAUAAGGGUAGAGAGAGGAAAUUGGACUAGGCAUUUAUUAUAAUCAAUGAGAAUGAUUAUAAUAAUAACCUGGGUACAGACGAAACUGAGGCUAUGGCGACUCUGAGAGACUUUGUAAACAUCAAUGGAUUGUUGGUUCCAGUGGGGUCAAAGAACUGUUGGGCCAAAGUUCUACAGGAAGUGAGCUGGUAAGAUAGGAGCUGGGUUGCCAGAGAGUGCAAUACUUGAAAUUAAAUCAUGCAGAAGACAACAGUUUUGUGAUGUGGCAAUUUGGCCCAGCUGAACUUUUUUUUUUUUUUUUCCCCCAGAAUUCCUUCCCUGCCUGUUUCUAUUUAGGGAGGGUGGUUGUGAAGUAGCAGCCAUUUUGUUUUUAUGCUCAAAAUGUUGGGCAGGAUACUUUUGUAGCUCACAUAUGUUGUUGCUUCUCUGCUGGCUCAUUUGAUGGCUAUGGGGCAGCAGCUCAGCCUGCCACCACCUCUAGAUGUUUCUUCAGCUUCUCCAACUCCAAGGCUGGUUACAGAGCUUUCACUCUAGCAUCUGAAAAAGGAACCAACUCCUGCUAAAUCUUGAGAAUUGACACAUUGAAGCCUUAUCUUCAGACUCUGAAAAAGGCUGGAAGCUUAUCAUGGGCCUGGAUCUUGUGCUAUUCAAAUGUUUUCACCGAUGCCUACAACUGUAUUUGGCACAUAGAAGAUGCAAACAAUAAACCUCAGAACAUCUCAAACCCAAGGAGUCUGGAUUUUCCUGACAUCAAUGUAUCCUUUUGAGUAUAUUAUCGUAUCUCUUAACAUUUCUGUUUCAUCCUUGACCUGAGACUUUUUUUUUUUUUUUUAAUCUUGAGAUAAUUCUUGGCUUUGUCAAGGCUACUGGUGACAAAAGCAUUAGCAAGCAGGUGCAGAGUGCUUUUUCCACCAAAGAAGAGACAUUGUACUCUUUUUGGGGUUAUAUUAAUGACUAAAUCUGAGAAAUUAGAAAUGCAUUUGCUGAAUUGAAGAACCCAUUAGAGACUCUCAACAGGAGAAUGGGUCUUGCUGAGGAGUCAGUGACCUCUCAGGCCAGCUAUUUGAAAAUACAAAGUCAGAGGAAAAAAACGAAAAAAAGAAUGAAAAUGAAUUAAGACUGCCUACGAGAUACAGAAAAUUACCUCAAAAGACUAAAUCUGAGUUAUCAGUGCUCAAAAGGGAAUCAAACAAGAGCAAGUGGUAGAAAGUUUUUUCAAGGAAAGAAUAACAGAAAACUUACCAACUCUUGAGAUAGAUAUACAUAUCUAGGUACAGGAAGAUCUGAGAGCACCAAGCAGAUUCAACUCAAAUAAGAAUACCAUAAGACACUGAAUAAUCAGACUGUCAAAGGUCAAGGACAAAGAGAGAAUACUAAAGGCAGCAAGAGAAGAAAAGCAAAUAACAUAUAAAGGAAUUCCAAUCCAUCUGGCAGCAGAUUUCACAAUGGAAAUCUUAUAGGCCAGCGGGGAGUGGAACAUGUUCAAAAGCUCAAAGAAGAAAACUGAUAUGAAAGAAUAUUGCAUUCAGCAAAAUUAUCCUUCAGAUAUGAAGGAGAAAUAAAGUUUUUCCAAGACAAUCAAAAACUGAGAAAAUUUAC
Homo sapiens (human) is the source of this 6319-nucleotide long non-coding RNA. RefSeq lists it as uncharacterized. The record is from RefSeq and is a predicted model, not a curated record. Lineage: Eukaryota; Metazoa; Chordata; Mammalia; Primates; Hominidae. The transcript has 9 exons.